This is a small nuclear RNA of Mastomys coucha (southern multimammate mouse), 148 nucleotides long. RefSeq annotates it as U4 spliceosomal RNA. Lineage: Eukaryota; Metazoa; Chordata; Mammalia; Rodentia; Muridae. The transcript has a single exon. The record is from RefSeq and is a predicted model, not a curated record.
AGCUUUGCGCAGUGGCAGUAUCAUAGCCAAUGAGGUUUAUCCGAGGCGCUAUUAUUGCUAAUUGAAAACUUUUCUCAAAUAGGUACAUGAAGCCAGAGCUAGACAAGUAUAAUAAUAGAAAGUAUUCUUUGUAGGGGAUGAGAUAGUA